This is a small nucleolar RNA of Rana temporaria (common frog), 217 nucleotides long. RefSeq annotates it as small nucleolar RNA U3. The record is from RefSeq and is a predicted model, not a curated record. The transcript has a single exon. Lineage: Eukaryota; Metazoa; Chordata; Amphibia; Anura; Ranidae.
AAGACUAUACUUUCAGGGAUCAUUUCUAUAGUUCUUGACUGUCGAAAUGUGCUCUAAAGUGUACAAACUCACCAAUCACGAUGAAGAGUCAUAGUGGUUAUUCCUGAGCGCGAAGUGAGUUAGUAGCGCUGCUUUAUUGUAGUGCUUCUAGCUGUUGAUGACCGUUCCUCUUCUCUCUUGUAGAGAAGCUGGGGGGAAUGACCACGAGCUGAGUGAU